Non-coding RNA from Chlorocebus sabaeus (green monkey), 3302 nucleotides. The record is from RefSeq and is a predicted model, not a curated record. NCBI's taxonomy places the organism in Eukaryota, Metazoa, Chordata, Mammalia, Primates, Cercopithecidae.
GCAGGCUACCCCCUUGCUGCAAUUUUAUGGAUAAAUGACAUUUGUUUAUUUGAUCUCAGAUGCAGUGUUGUCUUUGGCACUAGAAAGUGUGACAUGGAAGAUUCUAUCACGAUGAGAAUACCGCUUACUGAGGGUUUGCAAUGGACCACUGAUCAGCACUUCACAUAAUCUGCACAAAAUCUCCCAUUAAGCCCUGAAAGGCACCAGGCUUGCUUUGACUGGCUGCCCUCAGAGUGUAUGAAGAUGAGAGUGUUAUUAGAAUCCAAAGUCACUCAUUGGCCAGUGCUGGUAAACUAAAAUCCGAAAUGUGUGCAAAAUGCGUUUUCUCUUUGGAGAAAGUGACAUCUCAUCUGAGUGCCUCGGGCCCCUGCAGGAUGUUAUCUGCUGAGAAGAAAUCACACAUGCCAGGUUAUCUGUCUUCAGGUGAUUUCUUCGAAGUGUGGCGGCACCUCCCUUGAUGACUGCUGGGGGGUAUAAUGAAUCACCCACUUGCGGGAGAAGGCUGAAGAAUUUGCUUUACCAGAGAUACAGAAGUGGAGGGAAUGCACAGGUAUUGAAGUGUGUGUGCACGCAUAUGUGAAUUUACAUGCUUUGCAUGCCCCUGUGUGCACGCAUGUGUGCAUUUGUGUGUGCACGAGUGCACUGAUGUACACACAUGUGCAUCUCCAGCCCUGCUGAGGUCUCAUGGAGGGGCGGAUCAAGACAGUUCCUUAGAGACGACUACUAGCAAGGCUUUUAUGGAGGUGGCCUGGCCCUGGGAAGCUUAGAGCAUCAGAUUGUGAAGCAAAAUUUUACAUAACGACUCUAGGAAGGAUUGUGGGGUAAUGGAAGGAAUACCAAUCCAGGAAGCAAGGCACUGAGCCCUGUCUCUGCCCCCAGCCUGCUGGGCGACUUCAGGAGACUCAUCAGCCUCCUGAGCCUCAUUUUCCCCACAUGUGAAGCUGUGAAACCCAAACUCCUUGCCAAAGUGUUCCAGGUCUGUAGUAGGUGCUGUGGUGCGUGACUCUCCUUCGGGACUGAGCCCCCUGUCUCCCAGCUGCUGGAGUGGGUGCUCCUCAGAAACGAAGAGUCCUUCAUCCAAGGUCCUCCCGUCCCUAGGGAGCAGCCAGCUGGGGACAUACCCGUGCAUGUGUCAGGCCCAGUCCCCGGCCUGAUACCUCUGCAGGCCAUCCCAGCUCCAUGCUCCCUGAGGGACUGGCAGAAUCCUCUCUUGUGAAUGCACGGCAGCCUGGCUUCUCUGCUAGACUUCUACUUCCCUUUGACUCCCUUUCAAACGGACAGUUCCAAGAGCACUGCCUGAUCAUGCCCCUGCCUACAGACUUUCAUCUCAGGAGAUCCCAGAACAACACGCCAGUGGUCUGCGCCUCUGUGACGGCCCCUCCUCCACCGUCCCUCACUCUCUUCAUCAAAGCACACUCCAGCCUCAGGGCCUUUGCACCUUCCUUCUGUAGAAAACCCUUCCCCCCACCCUUUGUAGAUGACUUCCUACCAUUUAAAUCUCAGCGAAAUGGUCAUGUCCUCAGUAAGGCCUUCCCUGACCACCCCAUCUAGGAUUCCUCCAUCAAUUAAUCUGAAUACAUCACUGUUUUAUUUUUUCUCAAGGCCUUUAUCACUCCCUGACAUUAGGUUUGUUAAUUAUGCAGUUGUUUAUUUUCUGUCACCCACUCCUUUGAAAUGAAAGUUCCCUGAGCACAGGAUCUGCAGCUUGGCUCUCUGCCCCAUCCUCAGUGCCAGCAAGUGAACCUGGAACAAGGUUGUGCAAGGACGGCUCUGAAAGUCAUCUCAAAACCAUGAGGGCAGCAUGGCCCACCUGCUGAAGAUGGCACAGUGGAAAGGUGAAGUCUCAGGGCUCAGACGAGAUUGUGAGCUGGUGAAUUAACACAGGAGCCUUCUUUCCCCAAGUUCCUUGUCCUAUGAGGUUAUACCAUUGACUGUUUAUGCCAUUUUUAGUUGAAGGUUCUUCUGCUUGCAGCCCCAAGCAUUCUAACUGACAUGAAAGGUCUGCUGUAGUCAUGAGCAGAUUGUGGCAGUAUAUUUUGAUAGUCUAGGUGGAGAAACCUUAGUGCAAGGGUUUCGUGAUAGCAGUUCUGCCUCUCUAAGGAUAUUCCCCUUCACUUCUGGAUUUACAGCUAUGAUCCAGAUACUGAGUACACCCUCAUUCCAGUGGUACUAUCUCAACAGGCUGCAUGGAGAGUAAUGGAAAAAGAUACCACCUUGACCAAACUGACUUUGACCCCCUGGAGCUCUCACAGUAUUUCGGGAGCUGUGAAGGGCAGACCUACCUGUGUUUCCAUCAGGCCCCAGUUUCCUCAUUACUUUGCUUAGCUUCCAAGCUGAGAUCAUUAUUAAUUAAUACACUUAUAGUUAUUAAUAUAUGGUGACAUUAAUUAACUAUAAUCUAUUAAAUGCCCCCUGUGUGUCUGGUCUGAUGCUACAUGUUGUGUUGCAUUUUCUCAUUGAUCCUCCCAACAAGCCAAGAAGAUGAGUUUUGCUAUGCAUGUUUUACAAGAAAGAACGCAAGGUUCAGAUAAUUCAUUAAUGUGACCAAAGGCCCACAUUCUGAUUGGAAAUCAGCAGAGGUAGGAUAUCACCUCGCAAUUCACCCUGGUUCCACUUCUCUAAGAGGAGUUUCUGCAGAGGGAAGCAUCUGUUUUAGAAUUGCACCAGUUCUUGGCUUGUUCUGGUGAUAAAGAAGAAACAACAUUAACCUUGAUGUCAAGAACCUGGGAUUGAAUCCCGGUCAGUCUACUGAGGCGAUCCUGGGAGGAGGGGGAGGUGUCGUGGCAUGGAUUGAUUUUUUUUUUCUCCUCUGAGUCCUAGUUGUUUUUUAUUCUCUAAAAGGGAUAGUAGUCCUUAAACUCCAGGUAAUUUAUUGUCAAAGGAAAUAGCAAAUGUGAAAUUGUCCAGGUACAGUACAAUAGGUACCAAAACCCUCUGUUUAGUUCAUUCAUUUAUUCACUCUUCACUCAUCCCUUAUAUCAACUUCUGGGUCUGCAAGAUGCAGCAUGUAAACACCCUGGCAGUGACCUUGAACACUCUGGUAGGAGUCAUUCUCCAUCACCUACCAGCUGUGAAAUGAUGGGCAGUGCAAGUAACCUUAGUAGGUCUCACGUUCUCUUCUGUAACAAAAGCAUUUCUUUUGUGACAGCUACACUUUCAUCAUUUUAAAUGUGUGAACUCAUUAAAUCUUCUCAAUAGCCAUCAAAGUCGGCGUAUAAUUAUCUCCUAUUACAGACGAGGAAAUUGAAGUACAGGGAAGUUAAAAACUUGGCCAUGUUGGCCAGGCCAGGCGCGGUGGCUCA